UACGUAGGGUGCAAGCGUUAUCCGGAAUUAUUGGGCGUAAAGAGCUCGUAGGCGGUUUGUCGCGUCUGCUGUGAAAAACCCCGAGGCUCAACCUCGGGCCUGCAGUGGGUACGGGGCAGACUAGAGUGCGGUAGGGGGAGAUUGGAAAUUCCCCGGUGUAGCGGUGAAAUGCGCAGAUAUCGGGAGGAACACCGGUGGCGAAGGCGGUUCUCUGGGCCUUACCUGACGCUGAGGAGCGAAAGCGUGGGGAGCGAACAGG
This 259-nucleotide ribosomal RNA is filed under the name uncultured bacterium. Its description in RNAcentral is "partial 16S ribosomal RNA". It matches the Rfam family "Bacterial small subunit ribosomal RNA", at positions 524 to 776 of the family's 1533-position model. The record is from RNAcentral.